UGGGGAAUUUUGGACAAUGGGGGAAACCCUGAUCCAGCCAUCCCGCGUGUGCGAUGAAGGCCUUCGGGUUGUAAAGCACUUUUUGCAGGAAAGAAACGUCAUGGGUUAAUACCCCGUGAAACUGACGGUACCUGCAGAAUAAGCACCGGCUAACUACGUGCCAGCAGCCGCGGUAAUACGCAGGGUGCAAGCGUUAAUCGGAAUUACUGGGCGUAAAGCGUGCGCAGGCGGUUCGGAAAGAAAGAUGUGAAAUCCCAGAGCUCAACUUUGGAACUGCAUUUUUAACUCCCGGGCUAGAGUGUGUCAGAGGGAGGUGGAAUUCCGAGUGUAGCAGUGAAAUGCGUAGAUAUGCGGAGGAACACCGAUGGCGAAGGCAGCCUCCUGGGAUAAAACUGACGCUCAUGAACGAAAGCGUGGGGGGCAAACAGG
This 429-nucleotide ribosomal RNA is filed under the name Acidobacteriota bacterium. Its description in RNAcentral is "Acidobacteria bacterium partial 16S ribosomal RNA". It matches the Rfam family "Bacterial small subunit ribosomal RNA", at positions 355 to 776 of the family's 1533-position model. Lineage: Bacteria; Pseudomonadati; Acidobacteriota. The record is from RNAcentral.